AUAUGCAAUGUAUAUAUGCAUAUAUACAUCUUUUUUGUGUUUUUUUCUCUCCAUUACAACAACAUACAUAUCAAAAUCUUAAAGGCCUAUAUAAUAUGCAAUAUUAAUAUCAUUUACUAGUUAAGCAUAACCCACCCAAUUCAUUGCAAAACUAUCAAAUACUUUUUCAAAUUUCAUUCUUUAUUUCUUUCUCUGAUGCCAGAAAAAUUUUAAUUGUUCUUGGAAAUUUAAUAUUUUCUGUUUGAAUCAAAUGUUUCUCCCAGCAGUCUAACCCUGAACAGUAGGUUGGGCAAAGUUGGACACAAUUUUCAAGCUUGAAUUUGAAUUAUUGAUCAAAGAUCAUACAAAUUUGAAGUUGGACAUCUAAUUUUUAAGUAUUAUGGUCUGAUAUCUAAAAUCUUACAACAUGGUAAGAUUCAGCACAUAAAACAACACCAAAAAUUAUAUUUUGAUUGAAAUCAAACCCUUAUAUAUAAACUAAUUUGAAAACAGGGCCCAAAAUAAAAAAUCUAAAUGCACAAUAAGAUUCAGCAUAUCAUAGAACCACAAUGAUUCAGUUUUUGAUGAAAUAUAACAAAUUUUAAUUUUGGACCCUUUUGACCUAAAUGUAGACCAAUUUUAAAAUGGGGCCCCAAUAUCUAAAAAGGUAAUUCAAGGUUACAUAAUGAAUUAAAAGAUCCCCCCCCCAAAAAAUUUUUUGUCCCCCCCUCCCCCACACAUUUUCUUUUUGAAUUUGAAAUUUUGAAUAUUCUUGAAGAAAAAUGUAUGAACCCCCAUAAAAAAAUUAUUCCCCCCUCCCCAAAAAAUUAAAUGUCCACCAAAAUGCAAGUGGCCCCUCUGCAUUUGGGAUGCUUCUAUUGCUCUGGGAAUUUGUAGGCAAACACUUUUUAAUAAUAUCAUACCAUUACAACUUCUGUGAAUUCAUUUAUUUUUGUGGGAACCAAUUUUACGGAAUGGAGGAAACUUGCAUUUUUGUGGAUAUUUUAUUUUGUGGUUUUGUUAAAGUCUGUUCAUAUUUUUAUAGAAAAUUAUAAUUUGUUGUACAUUGGAAUUCAUGGUUCCUGGGUAACCUUAAAAAUUUGUAUACAAGGAAUAAUAAUGAAUUCAUAGUUAGUACUUAGAUUUGAAGUUAUUUGUUCAGAGCAGGAUUUACAUAAUGUCAUUUCCUAAAUUUACACAAAUGGUUAUUGCCCAUUUCAUAACUUUUGACCAAAUGAUCUCAAUACAGGGGGAGAUACUUAAUUAUGUCAGGGGGAUAACUUUUGACCAAAUGAUAUCAAUACAGGAGGAGAUAAUUAAUUAUGUCAGGGGGAUAACUUUUGACCAAAUGAUAUCAAUACAGGGGGAGAUACAUUGUAAUUAAAAUUAAUAUUUCAGCUUAAUAGACGGUCAAAAUUUAUGAAGUGUUAUUUUUAUAUUUCUGCAAAUGUAGCACCUUCUCAUGUAAUUAAACAUAUAAAUAUAUAUUUCUGGGCUGAAUUUUUAGUUUUUGCAAAAGUGGCCAUCCAAUGUAAUUAAAUAUAUAAAAGAGGGUCAUAUUUGCUUUUUUAAGUUAGUCAUAAGACAGAAAGCACCUAAAAUGAUUACAUAUAAAUUAUGCAUAAAAAAUAUUGAUGAUUUUUAAGAUUCAACCUUACCCUUUACUUUUGUUCUUGGUGAAAAUAUAAAGAUUUUGUACUAAACUAUUAAAUUUGUAUACAAUUGGGAAUAGAUGUCAGAUGUACAGCAAUUAGUCAGCAACUAAACAAAACACAAUACAUGGCCAAAUUCAUGUCAGAUGUACAGCAAUUAGUCAGCAACUAAACAACACAAUACAUGAUUCAUGUCAGAUUACAGAUUAGUCAGCAACUAAACAAAACACAUACAGAUUCGUCAGAUGUACAGCAAUUAGUCAGCAACUAAACAAAACACAAUACAUGACCAAAUUCAUUUCUGACCUGCUCUUAUCAAAGCAAAAAUUAUACAACAUAAAAGCUAUAAUAAUAUGUCUAAACCAGUUCUUACAUAAAGAAAUUAACAAAGUCUUAUCUGCUGUAACUUUCUAUACAUGAAGACAAAAAAUAAGAAAAAAACAAAACUAGAGGCUCUAAAGAGCCUGUGUCGCUCACCUUGGUCUAUGAGAAUAUUAAAGGAAGCAGAUGGAUUCAUGACAAAAUUGUAUUUUGGUGAUGGUGAUGUGUUUGUACAUCUUACUUUACUGAACAUUCUUGCUGCUUAAAAUAAU
Molecule: long non-coding RNA, 2224 nt
Filed under: Mytilus galloprovincialis (Mediterranean mussel)
Lineage: Eukaryota; Metazoa; Mollusca; Bivalvia; Mytilida; Mytilidae
Source: RNAcentral